Molecule: transfer-messenger RNA, 120 nt
Filed under: Kiritimatiellaceae bacterium
Lineage: Bacteria; Pseudomonadati; Kiritimatiellota; Kiritimatiellia; Kiritimatiellales; Kiritimatiellaceae
Description: partial transfer-messenger RNA
Rfam family: transfer-messenger RNA
About the family: Bacterial tmRNA, also known as 10Sa RNA or SsrA, is named for its dual tRNA and mRNA-like properties. Its role is to liberate the mRNA from a stalled ribosome. To accomplish this part of the tmRNA is used as a reading frame that ends in a translation stop signal.
Source: RNAcentral
GUCCAAAGUGGCCCUGUCAUACGGCAGCUGCGGGGGCGAAUAUUUUAUAGUAUGACUACACACGUAGACGCUGCCGUGACUCAUGAUCGGACGGGGGUUCGAUUCCCCCCAUCUCCACCA